Molecule: ribosomal RNA, 499 nt
Filed under: uncultured bacterium
Lineage: Bacteria
Description: partial 16S ribosomal RNA
Rfam family: Bacterial small subunit ribosomal RNA
Source: RNAcentral
GACGAACGCUGGCGGCGUGCUUAACACAUGCCAGUCGAACGGGCCCGCCCCUGUUUUUGGGGGUGGGUUGAGUGGCGAACGGGUGAGUAUCACGUGAGUAACCUGCCCCCUGCUCCUGGAUAACUGCUUGAAAGGGCGGCUAAUACGGGGUGUGCCGGCUGGUCCGCAUGGGCCUGGUCGGGAUAGUUUCAUCUUCGGGUGUUUCGGUGGGGGAUGGGCUCGCGGCCUAUCAGCUUGUUGGUGGGGUGAUGGCCCACCAAGGCGGUGACGGGUAGCCGGCCUGAGAGGGUGGGCGGCCACACUGGGACUGAGACACGGCCCAGACUCCUGCGGGAGGCAGCAGUGGGGGGUAUUGCACAAUGGGCGGAAGCCUGAUGCAGCGACGUCGCGUGAGGGAUGGAGGCCUUCGGGUUGUGAACCUCUUUCUCCGGUGGUGAAGGCCCUGUCCGUUGCGGCGGGGUUGACGGUAGCCGGGUAUGAAGCGCCGGCUAACUACGUG